Molecule: transfer RNA, 83 nt
Filed under: Nanobdellota archaeon
Lineage: Archaea; Nanobdellati; Nanobdellota
Description: tRNA-Ser
Rfam family: tRNA
About the family: Transfer RNA (tRNA) molecules are approximately 80 nucleotides in length. Their secondary structure includes four short double-helical elements and three loops (D, anti-codon, and T loops).
Source: RNAcentral
GCCGGCGUGGCGGAAUGGCUAACGCGCCAGACUUGAGAUCUGGUGUCCGAAAGGACGUGUAGGUUCGACUCCUGCCGCCGGCG